This 291-nucleotide long non-coding RNA is filed under the name Glycine max (soybean). Its description in RNAcentral is "long non-coding RNA (GMAX_LNC003886)". The record is from RNAcentral. Lineage: Eukaryota; Viridiplantae; Streptophyta; Magnoliopsida; Fabales; Fabaceae.
CAACAAAAUUUUAUUCAUUAUUGACUUCCAACAACUCUUUUUUCUGAACCAAAACCCCUUUUAGUAGUACACUACUUACCUUUUUUUUUUUAAUUAAAUAAAUAAAUUUAUUAUUUCAUAUAUUUAAUCAAUGCAUCUUUCUCAUUCCAUUUCCACACCCUUUGCUAUUAAUUAAUCCUCCUUCUUCGAUCUGCUUCUUUCUCAGUUUCAGAGCUCCUCGUCACUCCAAACCAAACCUUACUUUUCUCUCUUGAUAAUCUCUUUCUUCAUUUUUCUUCUGAACCCUAAACU